GGUUGUGGCUUAGAGAUAGAGCACUUGCCUAGCAUGUAUGAGGUACUGAGUUCGAUCCUCAGCACCA
This 67-nucleotide transfer RNA is filed under the name Marmota monax (woodchuck). RNAcentral's name for it is "tRNA.Ala". It matches the Rfam family "tRNA". Rfam says of the family: Transfer RNA (tRNA) molecules are approximately 80 nucleotides in length. Their secondary structure includes four short double-helical elements and three loops (D, anti-codon, and T loops). The record is from RNAcentral. Lineage: Eukaryota; Metazoa; Chordata; Mammalia; Rodentia; Sciuridae.